This 1426-nucleotide ribosomal RNA is filed under the name uncultured bacterium. RNAcentral describes it as "bacterial SSU rRNA". It matches the Rfam family "Bacterial small subunit ribosomal RNA". The record is from RNAcentral.
UAAUACAUGCAAGUCGAGGGGUAACAGAAAGUGCUUGCACUUUGCUGACGACCGGCGGACGGGUGAGUAACGCGUAUAUAAUCUGCCUCAUACUAGAGGAUAGCCCGAAGAAAUUUGGAUUAACACUCUAUAGUAUCAUUUAAAGACAUCUUUUUAUGAUUAAAGGUUACGGUAUGAGAUGAGUAUGCGUUCUAUUAGUUCGUAGGUGAGGUAACGGCUCACCUAGACUACGAUAGAUAGGGGCCCUGAGAGGGGGACCCCCCACACUGGUACUGAGACACGGACCAGACUCCUACGGGAGGCAGCAGUAAGGAAUAUUGGUCAAUGGACGAAAGUCUGAACCAGCCAUGCCGCGUGCAGGAUGAAUGCCCUAUGGGUUGUAAACUGCUUUUAUACAGGAAGAAAAACUUUCUCGUGAGAAAGCUUGACGGUACUGUAAGAAAUAAGGAUCGGCUAACUCCGUGCCAGCAGCCGCGGUAAUACGGAGGAUCCCAAGCGUUAUCCGGAAUUAUUGGGUUUAAAGGGUCCGUAGGUGGAUAAUUAAGUCAGAGGUGAAAUCCUGCAGCUUAACUGUAGAAUUGCCUUUGAUACUGGUUAUCUUGAGUUAUUAUGAAGUGAUUAGAAUGUGUAGUGUAGCGGUGAAAUGCAUAGAUAUUACACAGAAUACCAAUUGCGAAGGCAGGUCACUAAUAAUCAACUGACACUGAGGGACGAAAGCGUGGGUAGCGAACAGGAUUAGAUACCCUGGUAGUCCACGCCGCAAACGAUGGUCACUAGCUGUUUGGACUUCGGUCUGAGUGGCUAAGCGAAAGUGAUAAGUGACCCACCUGGGGAGUACGUUCGCAAGAAUGAAACUCAAAGGAAUUGACGGGGGCCCGCACAAGCGGUGGAGCAUGUGGUUUAAUUCGAUGAUACGCGAGGAACCUUACCAGGGCUUAAAUGUUUGGUGACAGAUCUAGAAAUAGGUUUUUCUUCGGACACUAAACAAGGUGCUGCAUGGUUGUCGUCAGCUCGUGCCGUGAGGUGUCAGGUUAAGUCCUAUAACGAGCGCAACCCCUGUUGUUAGUUGCCAGCGAGUAAUGUCGGGAACUCUAACAAGACUGCCAGUGCAAACUGUGAGGAAGGUGGGGAUGACGUCAAAUCAUCACGGCCUUUAUGUCCUGGGCUACACACGUGCUACAAUGGUAGGUACAGAGAGCAGCCAAUGCGCGAGCAUGAGCAAAUCUAUAAAACCUAUCUCAGUUCGGAUCGGAGUCUGCAACUCGACUCCGUGAAGCUGGAAUCGCUAGUAAUCGGAUAUCAGCAAUGAUCCGGUGAAUACGUUCCCGGGCCUUGUACACACCGCCCGUCAAGCCAUGGAAGUUGGGAGUACCUGAAGUCCGUUUCCGCAAGGAUCGGCCUAGGGUAAAAUCGAUAACUAGGGCUG